UUGUUUAUGAGUACAGAUGCAGGUUGAGACGGCAGCACGAUAAACGCUAUGCUUUAUAGCUGACGACCGGCGCACGGGUGCGUAACGCGUAUGCAACCUACCUCCAACUUGAGCAGAGCCCGGAGAAAUCCGGAUUAACACUCCAUAAUAUCUUAUAAGGGCAUCCUUUAAAGAUUAAAAUUUCGAUGGUGAGAGAUGGGCAUGCGUGACAUUAGAUAGUUGGUGAGGUAACGGCUCACCAAUUCAACGAUUUCUAGGGGUUCUGAGAGGAUUAUCCCCCACACUGGUACUGAGACACGGACCAGACUCCUACGGGAGGCGGCAGUGAGGAAUAUUGGUCAAUGGACGCAAGUCUGAACCAGCCAUGCCGCGUGCAGGAUGACGGCCCUAUGGGUUGUAAACUGCUUUUAUAUGGGAAGAAACCUUCGAACGUGUUCGGAGCUGACGGUACCAUAAGAAUAAGCACCGGCUAACUCCGUGCCAGCAGCCGCGGUAAUACGGAGGGUGCAAGCGUUAUCCGGAUUUAUUGGGUUUAAAGGGUGCACAGGCGGAAUAAUAAGUCAGUGGUGAAAUCCCUCGGCUCAACCGAGGAACUGCCAUUGAUACUGUUAAUCUAGAGUUUAGUUGAAGUAGGCGGAAUGUAGCAUGUAGCGGUGAAAUGCAUAGAUAUGCUACAGAACACCGAUUGCGAAGGCAGAUUACUAAGCCAUUAUUGACGCUAAGGGACGAAAGCGGGGGGAGCGAACAGGAUUAGAUACCCUGGUAGUCCACGCUGUAAACGAUGAUCACUCGAUAUUGGCGACAAACUGUCAGUGUCUAAGCGAAAGUGAUAAGUGAUCCACCUGGGGAGUACGAUCGCAAGGUCGAAACUCAAAGGAAUUGACGGGGGCCCGCACAAGCGGUGGAGCAUGUGGUUUAAUUCGAUAAUACGCGAGGAACCUUACCAGGGCUUAAAUGCAGAACGACCGCUUGGGAAACCAGGCUUUCUUCGGACGGUUUGCAAGGUGCUGCAUGGUUGUCGUCAGCUCGUGCCGUGAGGUGUCGGGUUAAGUCCCAUAACGAGCGCAACCCCUAUCUUUAGUUGCUAACAGGUUAAGCUGAGGACUCUAGAGAAACUGCCAGCGUAAGCUGCGAGGAAGGUGGGGAUGACGUCAAAUCAUCAUGGCCCUUACGUCCUGGGCCACACACGUGCUACAAUGGUCGGUACAGAGGGCAGCUACCCCGCGAGGGGAUGCGAAUCUCUAAAGCCGGUCUCAGUUCGGAUCGGAGUCUGCAACUCGACUCCAUGAAGCUGGAAUCGCUAGUAAUCGCGCAUCAGCCAUGGCGCGGUGAAUACGUUCCCGGGCUUUGUACACACCGCCCGUCAAGCCAUGGAAGUUGGGGGUGCCCUAUGUAUAUGUACCGUAACCUGCUAUGGUGCCUA
RNAcentral lists this ribosomal RNA (1423 nucleotides) under uncultured prokaryote. RNAcentral describes it as "partial 16S ribosomal RNA". It matches the Rfam family "Bacterial small subunit ribosomal RNA". The record is from RNAcentral.